GGGAAGGUAGCUCAGUGGUAGAGUGCUUGCCUUGCAUGCAUGAGACCCUGGGCUCGAUUUCUCAGCACCA
This is a non-coding RNA of Dipodomys ordii (Ord's kangaroo rat), 70 nucleotides long. Lineage: Eukaryota; Metazoa; Chordata; Mammalia; Rodentia; Heteromyidae. The record is from Rfam.